Molecule: ribosomal RNA, 1364 nt
Filed under: uncultured beta proteobacterium
Lineage: Bacteria; Pseudomonadati; Pseudomonadota; Betaproteobacteria
Description: 16S ribosomal RNA
Rfam family: Bacterial small subunit ribosomal RNA
Source: RNAcentral
AUUGAACGCUGGCGGCAUGCCUUACACAUGCAAGUCGAACGGCAGCACGGGUGCUUGCACCUGGUGGCGAGUGGCGAACGGGUGAGUAAUACAUCGGAACAUGUCCUGUAGUGGGGGAUAGCCCGGCGAAAGCCGGAUUAAUACCGCAUACGAUCUACGGAUGAAAGCGGGGGACCUUCGGGCCUCGCGCUAUAGGGUUGGCCGAUGGCUGAUUAGCUAGUUGGUGGGGUAAAGGCCUACCAAGGCGACGAUCAGUAGCUGGUCUGAGAGGACGACCAGCCACACUGGGACUGAGACACGGCCCAGACUCCUACAGGAGGCAGCAGUGGGGAAUUUUGGACAAUGGGCGAAAGCCUGAUCCAGCAAUGCCGCGUGUGUGAAGAAGGCCUUCGGGUUGUAAAGCACUUUUGUCCGGAAAGAAAUCCUUGGCUCUAAUACAGUCGGGGGAUGACGGUACCGGAAGAAUAAGCACCGGCUAACUACGUGCCAGCAGCCGCGGUAAUACGUAGGGUGCGAGCGUUAAUCGGAAUUACUGGGCGUAAAGCGUGCGCAGGCGGUUUGCUAAGACCGAUGUGAAAUCCCCGGGCUCAACCUGGGAACUGCAUUGGUGACUGGCAGGCUAGAGUAUGGCAGAGGGGGGUAGAAUUCCACGUGUAGCAGUGAAAUGCGUAGAGAUGUGGAGGAAUACCGAUGGCGAAGGCAGCCCCCUGGGCCAAUACUGACGCUCAUGCACGAAAGCGUGGGGAGCAAACAGGAUUAGAUACCCUGGUAGUCCACGCCCUAAACGAUGUCAACUAGUUGUUGGGGAUUCAUUUCCUUAGUAACGUAGCUAACGCGUGAAGUUGACCGCCUGGGGAGUACGGUCGCAAGAUUAAAACUCAAAGGAAUUGACGGGGACCCGCACAAGCGGUGGAUGAUGUGGAUUAAUUCGAUGCAACGCGAAAAACCUUACCUACCCUUGACAUGGUCGGAAUCCCGCUGAGAGGUGGGAGUGCUCGAAAGAGAACCGGCGCACAGGUGCUGCAUGGCUGUCGUCAGCUCGUGUCGUGAGAUGUUGGGUUAAGUCCCGCAACGAGCGCAACCCUUGUCCUUAGUUGCUACGCAAGAGCACUCUAAGGAGACUGCCGGUGACAAACCGGAGGAAGGUGGGGAUGACGUCAAGUCCUCAUGGCCCUUAUGGGUAGGGCUUCACACGUCAUACAAUGGUCGGAACAGAGGGUUGCCAACCCGCGAGGGGGAGCUAAUCCCAGAAAACCGAUCGUAGUCCGGAUUGCACUCUGCAACUCGAGUGCAUGAAGCUGGAAUCGCUAGUAAUCGCGGAUCAGCAUGCCGCGGUGAAUACGUUCCCGGGUCUUGUACACACC